CCCCGCUCCUCCCGGUGGCGCCGCGGCGGUACGGGAGGCGCGAAGGGGAAUUCUGCCUGGCAACUAAGAACGUCAGCGAAGGCCGGCUUGUUAUUGGAUUGAUCAUCUUCUGACCACAUUGGUGGAAUAUGGAGGGGCCUUGACACUGCACAGAAGAUGGUCGUGUCUUACAGGAACUGGCUGCAAGUUUUCAGCUCUUUGCUUCAUCAGCCACAAGUUCAAACCGUGAUCAGACAAGAGGUUGCCUAAAAGAAAGAUUACAGGAAAGAAAUCUCUGUUCUUGCUACCUGUUCUAAACUUCUUAAGAGAAUGGACUGACAUUCAAGUGCUAGCUUGUCCAGCAGCAUUCACCUGGGAUCCCCUCAG
Molecule: long non-coding RNA, 366 nt
Organism: Poecile atricapillus (Black-capped chickadee)
Lineage: Eukaryota; Metazoa; Chordata; Aves; Passeriformes; Paridae
Exons: 3
Source: RefSeq, a predicted model, not a curated record